This is a non-coding RNA of Podarcis lilfordi (Lilford's wall lizard), 73 nucleotides long. Lineage: Eukaryota; Metazoa; Chordata; Lepidosauria; Squamata; Lacertidae. The record is from the annotation of a GenBank genome assembly.
GGAUAGCUCAGUUGGUUAGAGCAUGGUACUGAUAACACCAAGGUCUCAGGUUCGAGCCCCAUAUGGGGCAGCU